GACAGAGGGUGCAAACGUUGUUCGGAAUUACUGGGCGUAAAGCGCGUGUAGGCGGCCCUGCAAGUCGGAUGUGAAAUCCCACGGCUCAACCGGGGAAGUGCAUUCGAAACUGCAGGGCUAGAGUCCUGGAGAGGAAGGUGGAAUGCUUGGUGUAGAGGUGAAAUUCGUAGAUAUCAAGCGGAACACCGGUGGCGAAGGCGGCUCACUGGCCCGAUACUGACGCUGAGGUGCGAAAGCGUGGGGAGCAAACGGG
This 253-nucleotide ribosomal RNA is filed under the name uncultured bacterium. RNAcentral's name for it is "partial 16S ribosomal RNA". It matches the Rfam family "Bacterial small subunit ribosomal RNA", at positions 524 to 776 of the family's 1533-position model. The record is from RNAcentral.